This 902-nucleotide long non-coding RNA is filed under the name Serinus canaria (Common canary). RNAcentral describes it as "lncRNA (ENSSCAG00000002505.1)". The record is from RNAcentral. Lineage: Eukaryota; Metazoa; Chordata; Aves; Passeriformes; Fringillidae.
UAUGAUGUCUGUAGUGCUGACACAGGAGUGCACAAAAGGGAUGGCUUCCUAGUAGUUUGACUAAACCAGAAGGUACAAAAAUCUACCCUGCAAAACAAGUUCUAUGGAAAGCGGAGAGAUUAUAGUGGAAUUCUAUUUAGCCCUAUAAAUUCUUGUUGGUAGUAUGAUAAAAAGAUAUUAAGACACCAUGAAACACGUGAAACUAUUGCUAAAUGCACUAUCUCUUCUUUCCUGUUAGUACCGUGCAGGCCAGGUAUGCACUGAAUUCUUCAAAAUUGUCCAUGGAAUUUUGUGCUAGAGAAUGGUACUCAGUUUAAAUCUGAAGAAAAAGAAAAUGGUGGGGGGGAUCAACAGUACUUACUGAAAGCAAAAGAAUUAGCGUCACUAGCAUGAGAUUCCUUGUGUUCUAUAUUUGAUAUCAGUUCUUAAAAUCUCGAGUUCGUCCUGGAGUUGUGACUGCAUUUUCAAUCUGCAUGUCAGCUCACUGAAGAGGAUGUGGAAUGAUCAAAAAUAAUGCUCUCCAGGUCUGUUUUUCCACAUCUUCAUAAGGAUAAGAUUUUCCCAGCAGUUGAUGGUCAACCCAAUGAUCAGCUGAAAUGUUUGAGUGACUCAAGAGAGAUAUCGAUAGUGAUAUGUACUAUAUUUCCAUUUUCAUGGUCUACUCACUGCUUCUAACAUAGGAGCUGAAAGUUGUCACUGGAAGACUAUUUCUGGACUUGAUCAACGGAAUGGUUAAGGUAAUUAAAAUAAGAAAUACAGACAGGGAAAAGAGAGGAAGAGGUUAGUUAUUCUCAGGUUCUUGUAUAUGAGAAAGAUUUUUUUUUUCUUCUUUUUUUCUCUGUUUUGCAUCUGUUAUUUUAGCACAAGAGAAUGUUAAUAAACAUUCUGGCAAUAGUUAUGCA